This is a long non-coding RNA of Gorilla gorilla gorilla (western lowland gorilla), 1524 nucleotides long. RefSeq lists it as uncharacterized. The transcript has 4 exons. Lineage: Eukaryota; Metazoa; Chordata; Mammalia; Primates; Hominidae. The record is from RefSeq and is a predicted model, not a curated record.
GUGGGGGUGGUCCCAGGCCCUGGACUGCAGGUGAAACCUGCAGGAAGCCCUGUCUGUUCUGUGUGGGACCCCCACUUCCAUCAUGGCCCCCACCACAGACACAGUGAGUCCACUCCAGUCCCUGUCCCAGCCCCUGUUGGGAUGCUGGCUCUGACCCCAUCUGGCCCCCUGCCUUUUCCUCGAGAUGUCCAUGGGCCCCCAACUCUUUGACGAGGUCUCAGACACCCCGGGGAGGCUGGGGAAAGGAUUCCCGGGGCAGCUGAGCCUGAGGCUGUGGGCUUUUCUGUCGUUUCUGCAGCCCCAGGGACUGGCACUGUAGGACCUCUGCAGGCUGGUUGGGGUGAAUGAAUGAUUGAUUGAUGAAUGAAUGAAUGAAUGUCAGUUCAGCUGCCAUUUCACCGCCUGGAAUUUGGGACUCGGACUGGCUUCCUGGCUCCUCAGCUUGCAGACGGCCUAUUGUGGGACUUCACCUGGUGAUCAUAGAAACAGUGGACCCACUGAGACCAAGGGCAAGGGGAGGAAAGGCCCGGGGUGGGGCUGAAGACACAGGUUCCAGGCCCAGCUCUGCUGCUCACCGAUGAGGCUUCUCCUCUGUUGAGCAGGUAGCCCCAGUUGGGAGCUGAGGUGUGUUGAUUGGGGCUCUGGGAACCAUAGCCUGCCAGCUGUGGCUUGGCCAUCCCCUCUGCCAGCGCUUUCCCGCCCAUCAGCCCUUUUCCCUGGAGUCCCUCCUUCAGCCAGGUCCUGAAAAGUCACACCUUUUGGCCAAGCUGCUGAAAAUACAACUCAGCCAGAACUCAUGUGCUCAUGCCAGCCUCAUUCAUGACACCCCUCAAACCAGAAACAGCCCAGGAGCCGAUCAACAGCUUCAUGGGAAAAUGUAUUGCAGUCUAUCCCAUCACUGGGCUCUUCCGCGGCAGUGGAGACAGGCGAAUUAUAGUCUAUCCUAUCACCGGACUCUUCCGCGGCAGUGGAGACAGGCGAAUCAUGGUCUAUUCCAUCAAUGGACUCUUACGCCGCAGUGGAGACAGGCGAAUUGCAGUUAUGCGCAGCAUGGAAGCCUCUCUCAAACAAUCACAUUGAGCAGAAGUGGCCAGGCUCAAUUCUGUGGAAUCCUGUGUGGAUCACAAACAGGCAACGUAGAGGACGACCUCACUGAAGAUCCCCCUACCCCAGGCUCAAGUCAGAGAGAGAGGAGGUGGCAGUGCCGGAAUUUCAGCUGCGCAUCCGUCCCAGCUCUGCACUGCGGGCGUCCGUCCCAGCUCUGCACUGCGGGCGUCUGUCCCAGCUCUGCAUUGCAUGCGUCCCGCCCCGGCUGGAGCUUGCAGACGGCAGCCCUGCAGGAACCCACCGGGGCUGACUCCUUCCUCCCCAGAUCCCACAAAACAGCAAUGGAUCUCCACUCGGCACGCAUUCCCCUCUACAUUCACACAAAGUGUCUUUUAAUGGAAAGUGUAUAAACUCGUUAAUUUUGGUUACUGCACUGAAGUUAGGCAAGUUUCUGCAGCUUUAUUAAAUGACGAAUGC